Molecule: ribosomal RNA, 576 nt
Filed under: uncultured bacterium
Lineage: Bacteria
Description: partial 16S ribosomal RNA
Rfam family: Bacterial small subunit ribosomal RNA
Source: RNAcentral
UGGGGAAUUUUGGACAAUGGGGGAAACCCUGAUCCAGCCAUCCCGCGUGUGCGAUGAAGGCCUUCGGGUUGUAAAGCACUUUUGGCAGGAAAGAAACGUCGCGGGUUAAUACCCCGCGAAACUGACGGUACCUGCAGAAUAAGCACCGGCUAACUACGUGCCAGCAGCCGCGGUAAUACGUAGGGUGCAAGCGUUAAUCGGAAUUACUGGGCGUAAAGCGUGCGCAGGCGGUUCGGAAAGAAAGACGUGAAAUCCCAGAGCUUAACUUUGGAACUGCAUUUUUAACUACCGGGCUAGAGUGUGUCAGAGGGAGGUGGAAUUCCGCGUGUAGCAGUGAAAUGCGUAGAUAUGCGGAGGAACACCGAUGGCGAAGGCAGCCUCCUGGGAUAACACUGACGCUCAUGCACGAAAGCGUGGGGAGCAAACAGGAUUAGAUACCCUGGUAGUCCACGCCCUAAACGAUGUCAACUAGCUGUUGGGGCCUUCGGGCCUUGGUAGCGCAGCUAACGCGUGAAGUUGACCGCCUGGGGAGUACGGUCGCAAGAUUAAAACUCAAAUGAAUUGACGGGGGUCGAU